This 2855-nucleotide ribosomal RNA is filed under the name Fasciola hepatica (liver fluke). RNAcentral describes it as "eukaryotic LSU rRNA". The stretch from base 850 to 2855 matches the Rfam family "Eukaryotic large subunit ribosomal RNA". Lineage: Eukaryota; Metazoa; Platyhelminthes; Trematoda; Plagiorchiida; Fasciolidae. The record is from RNAcentral.
GCUUAAGGCCAUGGAUAUUUCUUGCCGUCACUACGUCCGAAGAUGGCUCAAACUGCUGAAAGAUUCUAUCACUGCCUUUUUCCAUGCCAAAAUCCGAGAUGGAGGUUUAGGCCUUACCUCACUAGCUACUUCGAUCCCCCUGUGGCGAAGAAUACGCCUAACGAAACUCAUAACCUCUGAACAUCCGGUGGUCAGAGACGUGGUGAGACGUGGCUGUUGCUAAUGAACCGGUGUUCGUGAUGGGUACAGUUGUUAGCGAUAAGGAUGAGGCGGCCAUGGCAUGGAAAUUAGCUAUGAAUGCCACUUUGGACUGUGCUGACCUACAGAUUAUCCAUGAAACACCAGAGUCAAGCGUAUGGGUUACUAAAUCUUCAAGAAUGAUACCAAGUCUGUACAUACGUGGUCUACAGCUGCGUGCGGGCAUGUUGGGGACGAAAUCUCGCCAACAACGUGGCCGGGCCCAGAUGGACAAACUAUGCAGACGAGGUUGUGGGCAAACGGAAACUUUGCCUCACGUAUUGCAAAGCUGUCCAGCUGCACAUGCUGCACGCUGCGUCAGGCAUAACCGAGUAGCCAAGGGCAUCGCUACCUCACUAAGACGGAAAGGUUACCAGGUGUAUGAGGAACCCAUCAUUAGAACUGGCACGACAUACUGCAAGCCGGACAUCAUUGCGUGCCAGGAUGGGUUAGGAUUCGUGAUUGAUGUAGCGCUGGUCUCAGGCCAUCGUCUACAUGAGAGCUGGGAUCUCAAAAUAGCCAAAUAUGAUACUGAGGUAAUCAACUCGGCUAUAAUUGAAUGUUUACCGGAAGAUGCGGGAAUCCUUAGCCUCAUACACCAACCCGCCAUCAUAUCUUUUAAGAGGGUAUGGUUACCUCUGUCUGCCAAGCGGCUCAAAACCCUUGGCUUUAGUGUAGAUUGCCUUACCGGAUUGGGAUUAGUAGCCAUCAAGGGUACCUUAGCUUGCUAUGACAUGUUCAUGAUGGGCUCUAAUGGGUAAAACCCAUGCUCUUGUACGAUUCCUUGACCAGAUACUGCCCAGUCCCUCUCUCUCUACCCUCACCUUCNGAAUCAACCAGCCCUGAAAAUGGAUGGCGCUGGAGCGUCGGACCUAUACCGGACCGUCAUUGCAAGCUGAGUCGGUAAUGUGUGGUGUGAGGGCAAGCCACAUGACUCAGGCGCGGAAUUGUUGUGACGAGUAGGAGGGUCGCCGUGGUGAGCGGGAAGCUUCGGGCGUGAGCCUGAGUGGAGCCGCCACGGGUGCAGAUCUUGGUGGUAGUAGCAAAUAUUCAAGUGAGAACCUUGAAGGCCGAGGUGGAGAAGGGUUCCAUGGGAACAGCAGUUGGCCAUGGGUCAGGCGGUCCUAAGUGAUCCGGUAAAUCGGUGCAGAGACGGGGUGCCUGACAUUGUCAGGAUUGCUGCCAUUGUACUGUUGCACGGUAGCCCCCUGUAGCGAAAGGGAAUCGGGUUAAUAUUCCCGACCCUGCCCACGGAGAUUGGUGUAUUCUGGCUUCGGUCAGUUUGCACCUGGCGCGGUAACGCAAUCGACCUCGGAGACGUCGGCGAGAGUUCUGGGAAGAGUUCUCUUUUCUUUGUUAGGAGUGCACCAUCCCCUGGAAACGGGUUGUCCGGAGAUAGGGGACUAGCCUCCGUAAAGCACCACCCUUCUUGUGGUGUCCGGAACACUCUUGUCGGCCCUUGAAAAUCCGAGCGAGGCUAUAUAAUUUUCGUGGCAGGCCGUACCCAUAUCCGCAUCAGGUCUCCAAGGUGAACAGCCUCAGUCAUUUGAACAAUGUAGGUAAGGGAAGUCGGCAAAUUGGAUCCGUAACUUCGGGAAAAGGAUUGGCUCUGAGGGCCGAGUCAAAGGGGCUGAAGAAGGAUACGUGUCGGUCAAGUUGGAGGCUGGUUUCUCUGUUGCCUUGUCUCUUCGGUGGGUAGGGUUGACGGAGUUACUGGACUCUGACCGGAUCGGUCGUGGGCGACUUCAGCUAACAGAGCUGCUUAGCAAGCGGUGUGCAUGGGUAACUGUGUGCGCAAUGCGGUCUUGCUUUCUUCGUCUGGCGUUCAACGGCUAACUCAGAACUGGCACGGACCAGAGGAAUCCUACUGUCUAAUUAAAACAAAGCAUUGCGAUGUCCACUGAUCGGUUUUGACGCAAUGGGAUUUCUGCCCAGUUUUCUGAAUGUCAAAGUGAAGAAAUUCAAUCAAGCGCGGGUAAGCGGCGGGAGUAACUAUGAUUCUCUUAUCAUGCGGGAGGUGGACCCGUUGGGCCGGUGAAGCCGACAAUGUGAAACCGAUGAUGAGGUAGGUCUAGCUACGUGAACGGUUCGCCUCCUCGUGGCCCCGCUGGUGAGGUUGGGUCUCAUAAUUGCUCUGGGACGUGGGGCUUGUCCUUCCGGACUGUUUUGCGUCCUGGUGCGGUUUUCCGAAUUCCUGACAAACUAAGAACCGUCACAACCUGGCUGUUGGCUUUGCAGGCCGCAGUCUGGGUUCAAAACUCCUAUUGCAACCAAUCCUUACAAAUAUAUCAAUGAAAAGGGAGCGAGCCGCAUCAACACUGCGGCAAUUUCACCUCUCCCCUCUGGAUGUUCUGGACUUGGUUUCCACCGCAAUGCGUGGAUCCACCGAAACAUUCCUCCGUCACAUGAGAGGUCCCAAUUAACACAACAUCCCAACUCAUCCCAACACUUCCAUGUCCACUUUUUUGCACUUUUUUACUGACUCGCAUAACCAUUCCGCGAGCGCACACAUAUAUUCCGAUUCGGUGACAAAAUUACUGUGCUGUGCACAGCGCUUGUCAAACGCAAUGUCAAAACCGCUUUAUUUGACCUAUGUUUGACAAAAAUAUAUGUUUUAG